This 432-nucleotide ribosomal RNA is filed under the name uncultured bacterium. Its description in RNAcentral is "bacterial SSU rRNA". It matches the Rfam family "Bacterial small subunit ribosomal RNA", at positions 917 to 1345 of the family's 1533-position model. The record is from RNAcentral.
GGGCCCGCACAAGCGGUGGAGCAUGUGGUUUAAUUCGACGAUACGCGAAAAACCUUACCAGCUCUUGACAUGGGGAUUUUGGACCUUGGAGACAAGGUUCUUCGGUUCGGCCGGGUCCCACACAGGUGCUGCAUGGCUGUCGUCAGCUCGUGUCGUGAGAUGUUGGGUUAAGUCCCGCAACGAGCGCAACCCUUGUCCCUAGUUGCUAACAGGUUAUGCUGAGAACUUUAGGGAGACUGCCGGUGACAAACUGGAGGAAGGAAAGGAUGAUGUCAAGUCAUCAUGGCCCUUAUGGGCUGGGCUACACACGUGCUACAAUGGUGGUUACAAAAAGACGCAAUAGGGCGACCUGGAGCAAAUCUAUAAAAGCCAUCUCAGUUCGGAUUGUUCUCUGCAACUCGAGAGCAUGAAGUUGGAAUCGCUAGUAAUCGU